Molecule: ribosomal RNA, 1794 nt
Filed under: Chlamydia trachomatis
Lineage: Bacteria; Pseudomonadati; Chlamydiota; Chlamydiia; Chlamydiales; Chlamydiaceae
Description: bacterial LSU rRNA
Rfam family: Bacterial large subunit ribosomal RNA
Source: RNAcentral
GGUUGAAGGUUGGGUAACACUAACUGGAGGACCGAACCGACUAAUGUUGAAAAAUUAGCGGAUGACUUGUGGCUGGGGGUGAAAGGCCAAUCAAACCGGGAGAUAGCUGGUUCUCCCCGAAAGCUAUUUAGGUAGCGCCUCGUGAAUUCAUCUCCGGGGGUAGAGCACUGUUUCGGCAAGGGGGUCAUCCCGACUUACCAACCCGAUGCAAACUGCGAAUACCGGAGAAUGUUAUCACGGGAGACACACGGCGGGUGCUAACGUCCGUCGUGAAGAGGGAAACAACCCAGACCGCCAGCUAAGGUCCCAAAGUCAUGGUUAAGUGGGAAACGAUGUGGGAAGGCCCAGACAGCCAGGAUGUUGGCUUAGAAGCAGCCAUCAUUUAAAGAAAGCGUAAUAGCUCACUGGUCGAGUCGGCCUGCGCGGAAGAUGUAACGGGGCUAAACCAUGCACCGAAGCUGCGGCAGCGACGCUUAUGCGUUGUUGGGUAGGGGAGCGUUCUGUAAGCCUGCGAAGGUGUGCUGUGAGGCAUGCUGGAGGUAUCAGAAGUGCGAAUGCUGACAUAAGUAACGAUAAAGCGGGUGAAAAGCCCGCUCGCCGGAAGACCAAGGGUUCCUGUCCAACGUUAAUCGGGGCAGGGUGAGUCGACCCCUAAGGCGAGGCCGAAAGGCGUAGUCGAUGGGAAACAGGUUAAUAUUCCUGUACUUGGUGUUACUGCGAAGGGGGGACGGAGAAGGCUAUGUUGGCCGGGCGACGGUUGUCCCGGUUUAAGCGUGUAGGCUGGUUUUCCAGGCAAAUCCGGAAAAUCAAGGCUGAGGCGUGAUGACGAGGCACUACGGUGCUGAAGCAACAAAUGCCCUGCUUCCAGGAAAAGCCUCUAAGCAUCAGGUAACAUCAAAUCGUACCCCAAACCGACACAGGUGGUCAGGUAGAGAAUACCAAGGCGCUUGAGAGAACUCGGGUGAAGGAACUAGGCAAAAUGGUGCCGUAACUUCGGGAGAAGGCACGCUGAUAUGUAGGUGAGGUCCCUCGCGGAUGGAGCUGAAAUCAGUCGAAGAUACCAGCUGGCUGCAACUGUUUAUUAAAAACACAGCACUGUGCAAACACGAAAGUGGACGUAUACGGUGUGACGCCUGCCCGGUGCCGGAAGGUUAAUUGAUGGGGUUAGCGCAAGCGAAGCUCUUGAUCGAAGCCCCGGUAAACGGCGGCCGUAACUAUAACGGUCCUAAGGUAGCGAAAUUCCUUGUCGGGUAAGUUCCGACCUGCACGAAUGGCGUAAUGAUGGCCAGGCUGUCUCCACCCGAGACUCAGUGAAAUUGAACUCGCUGUGAAGAUGCAGUGUACCCGCGGCAAGACGGAAAGACCCCGUGAACCUUUACUAUAGCUUGACACUGAACAUUGAGCCUUGAUGUGUAGGAUAGGUGGGAGGCUUUGAAGUGUGGACGCCAGUCUGCAUGGAGCCGACCUUGAAAUACCACCCUUUAAUGUUUGAUGUUCUAACGUUGACCCGUAAUCCGGGUUGCGGACAGUGUCUGGUGGGUAGUUUGACUGGGGCGGUCUCCUCCUAAAGAGUAACGGAGGAGCACGAAGGUUGGCUAAUCCUGGUCGGACAUCAGGAGGUUAGUGCAAUGGCAUAAGCCAGCUUGACUGCGAGCGUGACGGCGCGAGCAGGUGCGAAAGCAGGUCAUAGUGAUCCGGUGGUUCUGAAUGGAAGGGCCAUCGCUCAACGGAUAAAAGGUACUCCGGGGAUAACAGGCUGAUACCGCCCAAGAGUUCAUAUCGACGGCGGUGUUU